UACGUAGGUGGCAAGCGUUGUCCGGAUUUACUGGGCGUAAAGAGCGCGCAGGCGGUCGUUCAAGUCGCGUGUGAAAGCCCCCGGCUCAACUGGGGAGGGUCACGCGAUACUGAUCGACUCGAAGGCAGGAGAGGGUAGUGGAAUUCCCGGUGUAGUGGUGAAAUGCGUAGAUAUCAGGAAGAACACCAAUGGCGAAAGCAGCUUUCUGGGACGGUACUGACGCUGAGACGCGAAAGCGUGGGGAGCGAACAGG
This 253-nucleotide ribosomal RNA is filed under the name uncultured bacterium. Its description in RNAcentral is "partial 16S ribosomal RNA". It matches the Rfam family "Bacterial small subunit ribosomal RNA", at positions 524 to 776 of the family's 1533-position model. The record is from RNAcentral.